This is a non-coding RNA of Picea glauca (white spruce), 46 nucleotides long. Lineage: Eukaryota; Viridiplantae; Streptophyta; Pinopsida; Pinales; Pinaceae. The record is from Rfam.
GUAACGGUGUCUCUAGACACCACCUCUUAUCUUCAAUUUUUUUAUC